RNAcentral lists this transfer-messenger RNA (408 nucleotides) under bacterium. It matches the Rfam family "transfer-messenger RNA". From Rfam's summary of the family: Bacterial tmRNA, also known as 10Sa RNA or SsrA, is named for its dual tRNA and mRNA-like properties. Its role is to liberate the mRNA from a stalled ribosome. The record is from RNAcentral.
GGGGGUGACCGGCUUUGACGGUCUGUACCUUGAAAGAUGUGCGACGCAGUGCACUCCCGUUUAACACUUAAAACUGGUCGGGAAACCAAACUUGCCAAGAACACUCUUGCAAGCGUUAAGUCGCCAUACUUCGGUAUGAAGGACUUUUCGUUCGCGUACGCGGUCGCCUAACGGCCACUCGCCUCGCGACGUCCACCCUCCGGGUUUCUACAGCCGAGAGGAUUGGGCGGAAUGGUCUGUAGCAUCGAUACGCGGUCUCCCGCCCGCAGUAUCUAAAUAAGGGAUCGAAUAGGAGUGGUUUCGUCUGCGUUCCUCGCACCCUAUUCUAAAAUUAACGCUGACUAUGCGUCGUAGAUUCGCUUUCUUGGCCAGAUUCGGACUCGGGUUCAAUUCCCGACACUUCCACAU